UUUUAGCACUUGGGAGAAUAUGUCCCUAGGUGUGGACAUUUAGUCCCAAAUUGAAAGUUGUGGAUACUGCACUCCAACCCGAUGAUCUCUCCCACUGCCGCCUCUUGCCACCAGGUACUCUUUUUUGCCUAGCUGCCGCCUCUCGCCACCAGGUGCUCUUGUGGAUAUGUCCUCCUCAACGCCGCCGCUCGCCACAGGCGCUCUUUUCCUUCUUCUUCUUUUUUUUUUUUUUUUUUUUUUUUUUUUUU
Molecule: long non-coding RNA, 248 nt
Filed under: Ricinus communis (castor bean)
Lineage: Eukaryota; Viridiplantae; Streptophyta; Magnoliopsida; Malpighiales; Euphorbiaceae
Description: long non-coding RNA (RCOM_LNC002641)
Source: RNAcentral